Equus caballus (horse) is the source of this 857-nucleotide non-coding RNA. The record is from RefSeq and is a predicted model, not a curated record. NCBI's taxonomy places the organism in Eukaryota, Metazoa, Chordata, Mammalia, Perissodactyla, Equidae.
GAGCACAGGGAGCGAGUCCCAAAGGGCAUGGGUGUGCCCACAGCUGAGAUCUGAGGACCCACCCUGACCACCACAAGAGGGCAAUAGGAGAUAGGGAGCAUCCGGGAGGGAACGAAAACCACGUUGCCUGGGAGACUGCGGUUCCCUCAGGACCUACACUUUUACUGAAAACCGGAAGCUUUCUUAACUUGCUGCUAACAACCAUUCCCUGAUACAAGGAGCCCAGCAUGGCAGCCUCUGGAAUACAGAAAAGGGUUAAAGGAUAACAGAAAAUACUGAGGAAUAACGUACAGAGGAAAGUGGAGAUGGAUAUCAUGGCAUACAUCUACAACCUUAAGGUCCUAUCUCUAUUUCUGUUCUUACUGCUGUCCUUUCAGAUGUGCUCUUAGUAUGGAUUGCAACUGCAAUAUAAACAGACAAACGUUUGAUUAUCUGGCCAAAUGCUACUCCUGAUCACCUCAGAAAAAGACUUCUCCUGAGUAACUACUACUAUCAACAAUCAGAGGACCUAGCAGAAUGCAGUUUACAAGACUUCAGCAGUACAUGCCAGCAGGACACCCAGCAGUCAGGAAGGCAUGAUGUAAUGUCAUCCAAGCCAGUGAACCCAGAAGAUGGCCCAAGCACCUGCGUGCGCAGAUCCAAGCCUCCAUCUUCUGUUGCCAAGCAUCUCCCACCACUCAGCUAGCAUUGCCUGGAGAAGGAGCAGACUGAAUUGGAGGGCGUUUGUAAGAUUAAGCUGAGUUACCCACAACCAACUGCAUCAGAAGACGCUGGGGUACUUCUCAAAUUUAAUCUUCCCCCUGCUCUAUAGCAAGGUGGGGAAAAUUAGACUAGUUAUAGGAUAUAAAUAAGCUACA